RNAcentral lists this ribosomal RNA (459 nucleotides) under uncultured bacterium. Its description in RNAcentral is "partial 16S ribosomal RNA". It matches the Rfam family "Bacterial small subunit ribosomal RNA", at positions 338 to 795 of the family's 1533-position model. The record is from RNAcentral.
CCUACGGGUGGCAGCAGUGAGGAAUAUUGGUCAAUGGGCGGAAGCCUGAACCAGCCAAGUAGCGUGCGGGAUGAAGGCCCUACGGGUCGUAAACCGCUUUUGCACGGGGAUAACACCCUCCACUUGUUGAGGUCUGCAGGUACCGUGCGAGUAAGGGCCGGCUAAUUCCGUUCCAGCAGCCCAGGUAAUAGGGAAGGCCGGAGGGUUUUCCGUAUUCGUUGGGCUUAGAGGGAGCGUAGGCGGGCGUUCAAGUCAGCUGUAAAAUCGCGCGGCUCAACCGCGCCCCGCAGUUGAAACUGGACGCCUUGAGUUCACAACAGGCAGGCGGAAUUCGUGGUGUAGCGGUGAAAUGCAUAGAUAUCACGAGGAACCCCGAUUGCGAAGGCGGCCUGCCGGGGUGCGACUGACGCUGAGGCUCGAAGGUGUGGGUAUCAAACAGGAUUAGAUACCCUUGUAGUC